UUUCAGUUGGGUGGAUGCCUGUACUCAAGCUUUUCUGUGCACACACAGAAGAAUUGCUCAGUUCAGCCCUGAGACGGCCACAGUUCAGAGGUGUUUCACAACUUGCCGGAGUCUGCUGAUCUCAGAGGAAUGUGUGGACAUCUUGCAAGGCUUUCUGCUGGUAAAGGCUGCCUAUGAGCCCACAGGUGCUCGGGCAUGGUUGGAAUCUGUAGGCACUCCAGGCUGCAGAUGGCUGAGAAAGAAGACCCAUCUGAGCUACUAAGGCAUCAUCCUUUAGGAAGAAGAGCCCACCUACCUAUCUAUGAAUUGGGAGGCACUGGAACUGGCACAAAUUAGGCGGUGGAACGAGUCACCCAGAAAGGUGGUGGAUGCCCCACCCCUGGAGACGCUCAAGGACAGGCUGGACAGGGCUCUGAGCAAUCUGAUCUAGCUGUAAGUGUCCCUGUUCAUUGCAGAGGAGUUGGACUAGAUGACAUUUCAGGUUCCCUUCCAACUCAAACAAUUCUGUGAUUCCAUGAAAUUCUUGAGAAAUGCUCGUGGCAUUGCACUGACACAAAGCCCUGGUGUUCCCCCUGUAAUUGGUGGCACUGCCUAAAAGAUGCCAGAACCCUGCUGAAGACAUCUUCAGUAAAGAACACCAUCACCUCCAGGACUGCUGAUGACAUUCAAGUCCAGUCCAGCCCUGCCCAGACUCAGAAGAGCUCUCCAGAAAAUGCCCCUCAUGAACUGCCGUCUUCUCUGUUCAUUUAAACUCAAUUUUACUUUAAAAAUGCUGCUUCUCUCCUUUCCUAUUUCUUGGCUAUGCAUUCGCAGGAUGGCACCUCUCACCUCACUCACUAUUAAUAUGCCACCCCUGCCAAGUCUUGCACAUGAUGCUAAAAUAGAAUGACAGCAGAAGCCAGAAAGAAGCAAUCAGGAAAGCCUAAAAGUCAGCUUGGCCACCUGGCAAAAAAAAGGAACAAACAUAUUCUUGCUUACAGUGCAUAUUCUAGGAUGGAACUCCACCACAUGUAAUCCAGUCACAGUAACCCAAGAUUUGUGCAUGCCUUGAGAGUUUUCUGAUAUGCUAAGAAGAAAUGAAUUAAGAUCUCCAAAAGCAUUGGUAGGAUUUCAUUGGCGUAACUGAACUGAGAACUUGAAAUUUUAUAGGAUUUAAUAAAUUUAUACGAUAGCCAAGUACCCCUAUAUCUGUAACAAACUGUACUCCUCUCUUAAUCAGGGCUCCUGGUGAGUUCAGGGCUCUCUUUCAUUACCCAAGCCUUGGCUUAUGACAAGUCAGACGCUAUUAAGGUAUCUUCAGAAGAGUACAUUUAUGGCACCACAAUCCUUCAAAUAUACACCUCCUAAUUCUGGAGAACAGUUGUUGUAAAGGGGAAUAUAGGAGCUACCUUUUCUUCCACUGUGAAUCAACUUUGCAAGCAACUGAUCCAGCAGAAAUUCCAUCGUGCUGCAUAAUAAAAGAGUGGCAACAAACAAAGAACGCACCUACAGAUGUAUGUGAGAGCUCGUAUCAAACUGACAGACACUAAAAUGGAAUAACAGAGAAACUGAGGAGAAGGGUUUAUUUAGCCUCCAAAUCUCUGUUAUUCCUACAAAGAUAACAUGUAAGAUUUAAAGUUUCUUUGUCUUUGCUGCGCUAGAGGCAAUGUAAGAAGCCAGCUGCCAUCUUUCAAAAAGUUGCUGCCUCUCCUAGAAAAAAAAAUGCUUCUGUAGGAAGAUUAGUGAUACACAGGCCUUCUGGGUCAUUCUAAAAGUCCUCUCCUCCAAACGCACACACGCGUUGUGUGCGCUGGGUCCAGCAGCUCUGCAGCUGCCCUAAGGACAAAGACCGUCAGCCUUUUGCUGUUGCUGUUCUGUAUGGGAUGGGUGCCAUCUCUCCACUUGCAAGGCCCUUGACAUUCUGGACAUCUCUUCCUAUGAAAUUAAAGGGUGUCCCCAGUGAGCUAUUAGGGUCAGUGUUUAGCCUGCUUACCUGAGAAAAGCAUCAAUGAAGGGAGGAUACAGCCAGGCCACCACAUUCCUCAUGAGCCACCCUCAAAGAUUUCCAAACAAGUCAAGUGAAUGAAAGAUGUUCCGUUGCUGUUUGCUGCGUGGAAUGCAAGCAGAGCUAUAAACAGAGACUGUUCAAGGGAAGAGAAUUGUCACUGCUUUUUGUUCUGUGCCUCUAAGUUUUAAACAUGACCUUUCAACCUGAGAGUCUUUUAAUGUAUCCUUGCUCUCCAUCAGACCAUUGCACACAAAUUCAUGCCUGAAAUACAUUUUAUGUGUUCCCAGUACUUUCAGAAAUUAUG
Molecule: long non-coding RNA, 2291 nt
Organism: Gallus gallus (chicken)
Lineage: Eukaryota; Metazoa; Chordata; Aves; Galliformes; Phasianidae
Source: Ensembl